This 72-nucleotide transfer RNA is filed under the name Thermincola carboxydiphila JR. RNAcentral describes it as "Thermincola potens JR tRNA". It matches the Rfam family "tRNA". From Rfam's summary of the family: Transfer RNA (tRNA) molecules are approximately 80 nucleotides in length. Their secondary structure includes four short double-helical elements and three loops (D, anti-codon, and T loops). Further hydrogen bonds mediate the characteristic L-shaped molecular structure. tRNAs have two regions of fundamental functional importance: the anti-codon, which is responsible for specific mRNA codon recognition, and the 3' end, to which the tRNAs corresponding amino acid is attached (by aminoacyl-tRNA synthetases). tRNAs cope with the degeneracy of the genetic code in two manners: having more than one tRNA (with a specific anti-codon) for a particular amino acid; and 'wobble' base-pairing, i.e. permitting non-standard base-pairing at the 3rd anti-codon position. The record is from Rfam by way of RNAcentral. Lineage: Bacteria; Bacillati; Bacillota; Clostridia; Eubacteriales; Thermincolaceae.
GCCGAAGUAGCUCAGCGGUAGAGCAACGCACUCGUAAUGCGUAGGUCGUGGGUUCAAAUCCCAUCUUCGGCU